AAACGGGUGUCCAGCAGAGAUGGUCAGGACCUCAGCCCGCAGCUAUGAGAAGGGGUCCUCCGGGUGGAGGGAAGAGUCUAGCCCCGCAGGCGAGGCGGGGAAGCAGAGGCGUGCUUCCAAGACGUCCAGAGGCGCGAUCAGGAUAUAUAUGAUCACAUUUUAACUUAGUCUGCAACAUGUACUGAAUAAAAAGAAGAUAGUGCAAAGCAAUUCUCCAACACAGUAAAAGGAAUCCUGAAUUUUCUCUUUAGUGAUGCUACACAUACUUACUUUGGACAUCAGCAAUCUAACUGCCGGCUUUGCAAACUCAUUCUUCAAGAGGCAAGUCAUUCUUGGUAACAGCGUCCUCAGGAAUGAAGCUCCUGCAGUUGAGGUUCAGUGAACGCUGCGUCAGGGAUCUGCGCAGCACGUGUGGAACCCAAUGAGAGUCCUUGCUGUGCAGGCACCGGGAUGCUCACAUAGUAAAAACUCGAGUCCAUCGGGAAGCCCAGGAACUGAAAGGCAUAAAGAAACCGAGUGCUAGAACACGAAGAUGACAUUUAGACACAGAUGCUUUUCUGCAAGUCACCACACUUUAAUUUUAAGAAAGGAGACUAGCGAUCUAUUGAAUAAUUCAUUCCCUCAUGGCACUGGUUCAACACCCCAGGCUCCUCUGCUGAGAAGCCUCCUUAUGUAGCUGUACUGGACAAGUGCGGUAGAAAAGACAGAACCCAGUGGGGAUGACAGAAUUCUUUAAUUGUCUGCAAAAGAGGAAAUCCAGUUGGUGGAGAGAAAAAUUAUUUCCACAUUGGAAAAAAAAGUAAUGACAAAAAUAAAAAGGCUUUGUCAAAUAUA
This 834-nucleotide long non-coding RNA is filed under the name Homo sapiens (human). RNAcentral describes it as "novel transcript". The record is from RNAcentral. Lineage: Eukaryota; Metazoa; Chordata; Mammalia; Primates; Hominidae.